AUGUUGAUGGCCUAUCUAUAGAAUGGAUGGCUAAGAUCUCUCACCCCACAAGUCACCCUUGAUCGACGGUCUAUUUUCAUUCUCACAAUAAGAGGCAAGCUCAGGAAAACCCUAAAAACCUUAAUCUUAUCCAAGCCUAUAAAAAGGGAUUGUCUCUGCCCAAAAAUCUCUACACCUUAUCUCUUGUAACUAAUUCGGCACACACCACACUCUCAUGUUUAAUCUCUCUCAUGUAUGACCUCUCUCUCAUAUGGUGAAAGAACCUAAGGGUUUAGUAAAAAGAGAAUUCAUCUAUCUCAAAGUAGGUUGGUUAGGAUUUAAGUUUGUGAUCAAAGGAGUUCACGUUCCAUUGGUAUAAAUUUGCGUUCCUGGUUCGAGAUUGAAGCUAGACAUCUCGCGACAUCAGAUGGUGGUGACUCGAUGUGGGGUGUAAUAAACUCGGUUGAAGGCUACAACAAAGGCUGCCAUCGGGCGGGGAUUGGAGCUGCCAUCGGGCGGGGAUUGGAGCCGACCGGACCGAGGGUCGAUAAAGCCUAAAAUAACUAUGGACCAACUCGACAAGACCCAGCCCAAAAACUUGUGCCUAGAAGGCCGGCCGGGCCCCGAAAAUACAGCAUUAAAGCCCGGCCCAGCCCAACCCAAAAUCGAAUGGGAUGGGCCUAGGCCCAUUCAGAAGGCAGACUUAGCUGCAGCCCUAUUAAAACAUUUUCUAUUGAAUUAUCUAUUUUACCAACCGUUAGAUUAUGACUA
Long non-coding RNA from Amborella trichopoda, 750 nucleotides. RefSeq lists it as uncharacterized. The record is from RefSeq and is a predicted model, not a curated record. NCBI's taxonomy places the organism in Eukaryota, Viridiplantae, Streptophyta, Magnoliopsida, Amborellales, Amborellaceae.